RNAcentral lists this ribosomal RNA (429 nucleotides) under Verrucomicrobiota bacterium. RNAcentral's name for it is "Verrucomicrobia bacterium partial 16S ribosomal RNA". It matches the Rfam family "Bacterial small subunit ribosomal RNA", at positions 355 to 776 of the family's 1533-position model. Lineage: Bacteria; Pseudomonadati; Verrucomicrobiota. The record is from RNAcentral.
UAGGGAAUCUUCCGCAAUGGACGAAAGUCUGACGGAGCAACGCCGCGUGAGUGAAGAAGGAUUUCGGUUCGUAAAACUCUGUUGUUAGGGAAGAAAAAAUGUAUAGUAACUAUAUACAAAAGAGACGGUACCUAACCAGAAAGCCACGGCUAACUACGUGCCAGCAGCCGCGGUAAUACGUAGGUGGCAAGCGUUGUCCGGAAUUAUUGGGCGUAAAGCGCGCGCAGGUGGUUUAGAAAGUCUGAUGUGAAAGCCCACGGCUCAACCGUGGAGGGUCAUUGGAAACUAAUAAACUGGAGGGCAGGAGAGAAAAGUGGAAUUCCUAGUGUAGCGGUGAAAUGCGUAGAGAUUAGGAGGAACACCGGUGGCGAAAGCGGCUUUUUGGCCUGCAACUGACACUGAGGCGCGAAAGCGUGGGGAGCAAACAGG